GGGGAUUUCAAGUUUCUUUUUUGCAAUGAAAUGCUGUUAGUGUUUUUCCUUAUAAAUGUUUUUUCUCCAAAAUUAAGAUCAAAGAUCUGUGAAUGAGAAGGCAAAUCAGGAGGGCUGGAAUCUGACUCAGUGGUAGAAAUCUAGCCUAGCAUUUGUGAGGUUAUGAGUUCAAUUCCCAACGCUACCAAAGGGGAAGAAAGAAUCUAAGGUCCAGGACACUGGGGUAGGGCCCAAUUGGAGGAGAUGAUGCUGUUACACACCCAGGACAGCAAAUUAUCUUUCUGAUCCUGUGCCAACCAGAUCCCUGACAGAGAUCAAAUUAACAAGCCUCUUCACGAGAACUAGACCAGGACAUGGACAUCAAAGAUGCCCCCCCAAAACCUCUCUUCACAGGACAUCUUGAGAAAUGGACACCCAUCACGAGACCAGCUCAUGUGAAUUCAGUUUUACUGCAUGCCUAGAACCCAGGACAACAACUAAAAGGCUUUCACACCAUCUACCAUGCUGCCAUCCUACCCCACUGUCCUCUGUCUCAGCUUUGGCUCUACCCUCACUUAACCCAGGCUCUCUUCCAACCCUUAAAACCACUCAUUGUAGCAUCCAGCCCCAUCCAUUCCCAGCCACUGCUGCCAAUAGAUAAACCAAAGAAGUCUUACUUGCCCCACCUGUCACUCUCUCAACCAUUAUAAAUCCUGACAGUUGGGGGAGUGAAGGCAUCUCUUCAAAAGUUCCAGGCUGCUGAUGCUGUGAUGAUGGAGAAAGAGGAGGCUCUUGGAAACAUAAUAAACAUAAUAAACACAUCUCAAAUCUC
Non-coding RNA from Cricetulus griseus (Chinese hamster), 811 nucleotides. Lineage: Eukaryota; Metazoa; Chordata; Mammalia; Rodentia; Cricetidae. The record is from RefSeq and is a predicted model, not a curated record.